AAGCUACACUCUGUGUCAAAAGUUGGAAACAACAGUGAUUUGGCUCAAUUUAAGCUUGCCACAGUAAAAUACAGCCUGACCUAUUCCAGCAAACUCUUGUCAGUUAAGUUUGUUGUUAUACAGGCUGUUACAUU
This is a small nucleolar RNA of Megalops cyprinoides (Indo-Pacific tarpon), 134 nucleotides long. RefSeq annotates it as small nucleolar RNA SNORA28. The transcript has a single exon. Lineage: Eukaryota; Metazoa; Chordata; Actinopteri; Elopiformes; Megalopidae. The record is from RefSeq and is a predicted model, not a curated record.